GGAAAAUACUGUCUCACUUUAAUUAAGUCUGAAUUUUAUCUUUAAGUCAAAAAGCUUAAAUAUUAUAGAAAGACGAGAAGACCCUAUAGAGUUUGAUUGAUUAGUAAAUUGAUUUUUGUAGGGCUUUAUUUGAAUAGGUUUACGGUUAAUUUUGUUGGGGUGACACUUGAAUUGAUUCAACUUCUUAUUGUUUACACAUGGAUUAAUGAGUGGGUGAUCCUGAUUUUUGGAUUAAAAGACUAAAUUACCUUAGGGAUAACAGCGUAAUUUUUUUAUAGAGUUCAUAUCGAUAAAAAAGAUUGCGACCUCGAUGUUGGAUUAAAGUUAAUUUCUGGUGCAGAAGCUAGAAUUUUG
RNAcentral lists this ribosomal RNA (354 nucleotides) under Lydomorphus melanocephalus. Its description in RNAcentral is "partial large subunit ribosomal RNA". Lineage: Eukaryota; Metazoa; Arthropoda; Insecta; Coleoptera; Meloidae. The record is from RNAcentral.